UACGUCCAGGUUUCAGACAGUCUUAGGGGACGUCUCAAAGACUACGCCCAGGUUUUAGACAGUCUUAGGGGACGUCACAAAGACUACGCCCAGGUUUUAGACAGUCUUAGGGGACGUCUCAAAGACUACGCCCAGGUUUUAGACAGUCUGUGGAGGGGGCUCCCCGGCCUCCACCAGAUGGUGCCAAAGCUCCACCCGGCUGAAAGCCUUGGGUUAAAAAUAAAGUGAAUGUUUUGAUUGAAGUGCAGAAAGUUGACAGACGAACUUGGCUUGACUGUUUUUCUUUUAUUUGUGGAAGAUCUUGCAGAUCGAGAGUUUAAGCAGAAAAAAAUCAAACAUGAUACAAAAAAAGAAUUUAAAGAAUAUUUCCCUUUCCUUCCUGGUUCAAACUUUCACUGGCUUAUUCAUCUCAACUUUCUUCAAGCAGUCAGGUUUUCUCCUUUUUAUUAAAAAAUAUAAAUGUAACUUUAUUAAAAGCCUUAACCUCUCAUGGUUUGACAGGGAAAUGUGGAUUAUGAAGGUCGUUUUAAGGAUGUGUGUAUAAUGCAGUGAUUGAUUAAACAGCUGAUGACAGUAACAAAGAAAUACAGGAUAUAUUUAUGUAUUUAAAAAACUAACUGAGGCGAGAGCGACCACUUCAACAAACGUACCACUGCUGGAGUUACUUUGUAUCUUUUGGUCCAUCCAGAGUCGGGAAACAACGUCUAACGAUAAAAAAUAUAUUUCAGUGCUUCUACAGAGCUAAAGAAGAGUGAGGAAAGUCUGCCGGUGUAAAAGACAAAAAGACGGCGUCAAGAAAACUCGAGUUUAUGUCCAGAGAGGACGUUGGCAAAUGUUCGUAUGUUUACAUUUAAAACUGAAACAUUUAAAUGGUAAAGUUUGUUUUUAACCCCUCAGAGUCUAAAAAGAUUUGAUCCUACAGAAUCCAGGAUCCAUCUGAGAACCGUCUUACGGACACAAAUUUACUUUUUAAUUUAAAUUUGACACAUCCAGAUGAAGAUUAGUGCCAAAAUUUAGAUUUAAAUUCUGACUUUCAACAGAUUCAAUCAAAUAAAUCUAAUCCAAAUCCUUU
Molecule: long non-coding RNA, 1072 nt
Organism: Larimichthys crocea (large yellow croaker)
Lineage: Eukaryota; Metazoa; Chordata; Actinopteri; Sciaenidae
Exons: 2
Source: RefSeq, a predicted model, not a curated record